Molecule: long non-coding RNA, 3432 nt
Organism: Mobula hypostoma (lesser devil ray)
Lineage: Eukaryota; Metazoa; Chordata; Chondrichthyes; Myliobatiformes; Myliobatidae
Exons: 5
Source: RefSeq, a predicted model, not a curated record
AGAUGCUGCACCGUGAAUCUCACUCUCCCCGGAGUUUGGAGCUCUUUAAAGGGCUCGGUGCCGCUGCCCCAGUGUUGCAAAGCCAGAGGUGGAUUUGGAGAGAAUGCUGGAACCCGGAAGCAGUGGUGGCCAUAACAGCUCCGUAGAAGUGGAGAAAACAUUUGGAAUUGAUGGCAAUAAAAUAGGGAAAAAGGGAAAUGAGCUAGCCCGGAGCUCUGUGGGCGCUGGAGCUGGAACCAACGUCCAAUCAAAGAGUGGCGUGGAAGCGCUGUAACUCUAUUGGAUUUAAGGGUGAUCAAUCAUCACUGCACGCAGAAGUCGCCUGGUUGAUUGGGUUAAAUUGAUGAAAGGGGCGGAUCCAUAUUUCAGUAUUAACUGAAUCCCACCAGCUUCACUUCGGUCCAAAAAAAAACCCUCUUCGGUUCUUUAGAGCAACCCCUCUUCAGCAUAUCUAUUAGAAUAACUUUCUUCUGCAAAGGAUAGUUUUCUUUGUCCUUUGUUGUGCUACACCUGAUUGUUUAAACUGGUUAAAUCCUCACUUUAAGUUGCUUUUAAAACGUGUUUGUAGGGAAAAAAAGACAUGUCCAAGAAAGACCCCAGUCAAAUAGCAGGGGGAGGGGGACACAUGAAAUAAAACAAUAUUGACUCAUAAGCUCGAAGGUCCAUUUUUAAAACUGGCGGAGAUAUUGCUAAUGUCAAAAAUUGCAACAAGUUGUGAACAAUAACUGCAUGAGACAAUGAACUAGAUAUGCGAUGGCCCUUCCACUUCCAAACAAUAAACCAGAAACACGUAUUUGUUUAAAAACAAUCAAAAACAUUCCAGCGAUAACAUGCAAUCUACAUAAUUCUGACGGACUCCUGCAUACGACCGGAAAAUGAUUACAGAUCCCAAUCCGACUCUCGCAAGUAUUAAAAGAAAUCGAGUGUCUCAGGUAGGAAGUUAUUUUUUCUUAUAGUUCUUAAAAAGAAUAAAACCAUUUAUUCGAAAUCAAAAGACCCGUGCAUCAUAGAAGAAACACGCGUCUUUAAAAAUCUAAUUCAAAUAUUCACCAGAACCUAUCCCUUAAAUGCACCCCCUUUACCCGAGAUAGGAAGCGACUUGCUUUUAGAGUGAAAUGUUAGGUAAUAUGAAAUUGUUUACUUGAAUUUUAUUUGCAGAUCAUUUUAAAAGUUAGUAUGCAGUAUUUUACGGAGAGAAGACGAGGCGACGGGUAAGGGCAGGGGCUGGGGAACAUAGCGUGCCUGGGCUCUCCGACAGUCGCAGUACAUUGACCAUAAAACCACUGCUCGCUGUAACAAUCAACCUUCAUUAAAAAGGAUGAAGCAAUAAAGUCUUACAACUAGCAACACGUUGACCAAGUUCCACUAAAUCCUACACAAGCAAAUAGCAGUCCGCAAAACUUUGGGGCAGUUCAAUCGUAACGCCACUGCUUAUUGCAUGAAAUCACAGUGUAAAAUGGGAGAGGGAGCGACAAUUAAACCAGAAUGAAAAUGUUGGAUAUCACUUCUUUGUGUACGCAACAAUAUCGCACCCCGAUAACGCAGCUGGCCACUUGAACGUGUGCCGAAUACGAUGGGGUUGCUUUUUCCGCGCCGAGCAGUACAGCGCGUACCCGCCGAGGGGGCAGAAGCUCACUGGCGUUAUCCCGCUCACAUACCCCCAACCUGCCAAUGUGAUAAUAUUUGUUGGCAAUCGAAAAGACGUUUUAUUUUACGCCUCGCGUUAACUGGGAUAAGUUUGUCGGCUCGAUCGCAUUCCUGAUGAUGGAGUGAAGUGUACACAACGUAAUACUUUGUACUUUUAUUUCGCUUAAGCUUAAGUAUUUAAGAACAGCCAAGACAGAAGUCAGUUCUAUGGAAGGGCAUGUAAACAAAAUUGGUUAAAAUUGCCAUCAACAAAAUUGACGGGCUGCCAUAUAAAGUGUCCGAUCUCGGGUCUAGCAACAGUGGAGAUGGAUCCUUAUCGUUUCCCUCAUCCUCUCUGAAGCUGAAUCUCUUGCGCCGUCUGCAGGGCAUCGGCACACCACCACCAACCCCGAACAGUUUCAACCCCGUCGGCAGGUUCCAAAAAAAAAGUGAGAGCCGGCCGUGAGAUUCAACAUCACGCCCGUUCUAUGUACUUGUAAAUUUAAUACCGCUGACUGCGUUUACACCCCACAUGCUUUUACUUACAGAAUCUCUUCUGAGUAAGGAACUUUACAAUGAUAUUUUUAAACUGUACGACCUGUUCCUAUUUCUGACCGAUUUCGAUAAUGAAAGCAUUAAAAAAAACGUUAACGAGGGCGGCCUGGCGGAGUUGCAGAUUUGUAACUUGUCACGUUUUAAACUUUUAGCACCGUCUCGCGAUUACUCUUCACUACCCUGUCGCUGCACUGAGCUCUUCGCCGUGAAAUGACUGAAGGUGCGAUAUACGUUUAAAAACAAAUAUCACGAAAUCACCAAACUAUUGAAACAAAGACACGGGGAGAUCUUUAGCAACAGUUCGAAUCCCCACUGUAGUUAUCAAGAAUUCAAAGCGACAGUAUCCAUCGAAUCACUAGCUGUUUAGUUUACAUUUAAUUUCAUUGGCGCUUAUUAUUUUUGUUAAAACAAACUCUUUUCAUCAAUCGAUAUUAAUGCGAUUUGGCAUUGAAUUUACAAUAUAAGUUCAGUUCUUGCAUUUGUAAUUUUUAUGUAUCAAUUCGUUUAAUCCAUAUCUAUACAAAACAUUGAUUAUCGAUUAAUUGUGGUCACUUGUUUUAGUUCCGGCGCUGUAAGUAUUGGUGCAAACAUAACCAACAAUGAUCUGCAGAACUUUCUUUGCCUUCCUGUCUUGUACAGGUGCUGGAAAUUCAUUGUAAAUGGCGCAUUAAUUGAAUAUCUUUCACAUUAAUUAAUUGACGAGUUUCUGAAGUAUUAUAGACCAAAGGAUAAUUACGGGCAGCAAUUUUCAUGAUUUAUAUCACUUUCCAACUAUCAGUUUGCAUUGCUCAAAUGAGUUCGUAAGCUCAAAUUUGCAAAAUGCGUCAAUAUACAUUUUUAAUGUCUGUACCUGAAUGGUUUAAAAUAAUAAUCACUAAUAAAGUUUUAAAUGUACAGAUAUUGCCUCCCUGGUUCUUGUCCUGUUCCCGCACGUAUAUAUAUACAAAACAUAAUUAAUUUUAAAACAUGUGUAACACAUAAUAUUUUAGAUAUUCAAAUGAAUCAGAUUUCUGUUCUUAAAGGACUUUUACAUGGGGUCAAUACAUUCAUUUAAAAAUUAAUCUUUACUAUAUAGUGUUGGGAGACCAUCUGCAGACUUCCUGCCAUCCCGCAGUUGCUUCUAAACAGAACAGUGCAGGCCCAGACAACCCCCUGACUGCAUUUAGUCAUGGAUUUUUGACGUUCCGUCGAGAUAUUGCAGUCGAAUGCUGGUUAAGUAUUCAAAAGCUGUUCGGGUUGUACAGUCCGGCA